GUGAACGCUGGCGGUAGGCCUAACACAUGCAAGUCGAACGGCAGCACAGUAAGAGCUUGCUCUUACGGGUGGCGAGUGGCGGACGGGUGAGGAAUACAUCGGAAUCUACUUUUUCGUGGGGGAUAACGUAGGGAAACUUACGCUAAUACCGCAUACGACCUACGGGUGAAAGCAGGGGAUCUUCGGACCUUGCGCGAUUGAAUGAGCCGAUGUCGGAUUAGCUAGUUGGCGGGGUAAAGGCCCACCAAGGCGACGAUCCGUAGCUGGUCUGAGAGGAUGAUCAGCCACACUGGAACUGAGACACGGUCCAGACUCCUACGGGAGGCAGCAGUGGGGAAUAUUGGACAAUGGGCGCAAGCCUGAUCCAGCCAUACCGCGUGGGUGAAGAAGGCCUUCGGGUUGUAAAGCCCUUUUGUUGGGAAAGAAAAGCAGCAGGUUAAUACCCCGCUGUUCUGACGGUACCCAAAGAAUAAGCACCGGCUAACUUCGCG
This 491-nucleotide ribosomal RNA is filed under the name uncultured bacterium. RNAcentral describes it as "partial 16S ribosomal RNA". It matches the Rfam family "Bacterial small subunit ribosomal RNA", at positions 29 to 507 of the family's 1533-position model. The record is from RNAcentral.